This 253-nucleotide ribosomal RNA is filed under the name uncultured bacterium. Its description in RNAcentral is "partial 16S ribosomal RNA". It matches the Rfam family "Bacterial small subunit ribosomal RNA", at positions 524 to 776 of the family's 1533-position model. The record is from RNAcentral.
UACAGGGGGUGCAAACGUUGCUCGGAAUUAUUGGGCGUAAAGCGCGCGUAGGCGGCUUUGUAAGUUAGAGGUGAAAGCCUGGAGCUCAACUUCAGAAUUGCCUUUAAGACUGCAUCGCUUGAAUCCGGGAGAGGUGAGUGGAAUUCCGAGUGUAGAGGUGAAAUUCGUAGAUAUUCGGAAGAACACCAGUGGCGAAGGCGGCUCACUGGACCGGCAUUGACGCUGAGGUGCGAAAGCGUGGGGAGCAAACAGG